RNAcentral lists this ribosomal RNA (440 nucleotides) under uncultured bacterium. RNAcentral describes it as "partial 16S ribosomal RNA". It matches the Rfam family "Bacterial small subunit ribosomal RNA", at positions 338 to 795 of the family's 1533-position model. The record is from RNAcentral.
CCUACGGGUGGCAGCAGUGGGGGAUAUUGCACAAUGGGGGAAACCCUGAUGCAGCGACGCCGCGUGUGGGAAGACGGUCCUCUGGAUUGUAAACCACUGUCCCCAGGGACGAAGAUGACGGUACCUGGGGAGGAAGCUCCGGCUAACUACGUGACAGAAGCCGCGGUAAUACGUAGGGAGCAAGCGUUGUACGGAAUUACUGGGUGUAAAGGGGGCGUAGGCGGGAUGGCAAGUUGGGUGUUAAAUCUACCGGCUCAACUGGUAGUCGCACUCAAAACUGGUGUUCUUGAGUGAAGUAGAGGCAGGCGGAAUUCCUAGUGUAGCGGUGAAAUGCGUAGAUAUUACGAGGAACACCGGUGGCGAAGGCGGCCUGCUGGGCUUUUACUGACGCUGAGGCUCGAAAGUGUGGGGAGCAUACAGGAUUAGAUACCCGUGUAGUC